GUGCAAAAUUUGAAAGUUGAUGGGAUUUUAUAUUACAUUUUUAAAUUAAGGGACUGUAAUAUUAUAAUUAGAUAAAAAUGAAGUCACUAUUAUCACUUUUGAAAAUUUCUUACCAUUAGAGACUCCAACGAUUGGCCGAUGCGUGAGUGUUAAUUGAUUUUUCCAAAAUUACUUAAUAAAUAUAUACUUUAUUAAUUGACUCUCUUAAAUUUAAUCAUUAAACUCUUUUUUUAAUAAAAGGAAGUAAUUCACUUUUUAAUUUUUAAUAAUUUUAAAAUAUUAGAUCUCUAUGAGUUAUAAUAUUUUAUUAUUAUUUUUAAUAUUGAUAAAAAAAAUUUAAAUCCGCAGCAAAAAGCUGAUGUGGCAAUGCUAGAAUGAAUUUUCAUUAAUUAAAUUAUAAUAUGAAUGGUGAAUCACAAAUCAAAUCCAUGAAUUAAAAAUAAUAAAAAAAAAAGAGCUCAAUCCACAAUCUAAGAAGCAUUGGGAAGAAUCUGAAAAGGAAUAACAGAAUUGGCAUAGUAGAGGAGGAAUUUAAGAAUCAAGCUGAUGUCGUUGCUUGUCACCUUGAGGAACGUUUGUUGGACAAACAGGAAGAGAAAGAGAUCAAUAUCUCCGUGAAGAAUCCAACAAGCGAAGGAUGUCAAUGGGGGCGUUGUUGGUUGUCUUAUGGUCUUGAAGCUCUCAUUGCUGCUGUUAGAUGGGGAUUGUUAGCUAGAGGGGCUUGCGUGACACGUGAUUGAGUGAGGGGGAGGGUGGGUGAGUGUACCAUAACAAGUGAGGGGGUGGGGUCACGAGACAUUGAGAAAAAGGUGUUUAGGUGUAUAAUUUUGAGGGUAGUGAUUUGUAAUGGUGGGAUGGUUUGGUGCGUUUACAAUUGUGUAAGAAAAUGGAAUGUAACGUCCAAAAAUAAUGAAAUGGAUUAACUCUUGCUACUGGUGAACUAAAAAUUGAU
Molecule: unclassified non-coding RNA, 952 nt
Filed under: Hevea brasiliensis (rubber tree)
Lineage: Eukaryota; Viridiplantae; Streptophyta; Magnoliopsida; Malpighiales; Euphorbiaceae
Source: RNAcentral